RNAcentral lists this ribosomal RNA (468 nucleotides) under uncultured bacterium. Its description in RNAcentral is "partial 16S ribosomal RNA". It matches the Rfam family "Bacterial small subunit ribosomal RNA", at positions 28 to 507 of the family's 1533-position model. The record is from RNAcentral.
GACGAACGCUGGCGGCGUGCUUAACACAUGCAAGUCGAACGGAAAGGCCCUGCUUUUGUGGGGUGCUCGAGUGGCGAACGGGUGAGUAACACGUGAGUAACCUGCCCUUUACUUUGGGAUAACUUCAGGAAACUGGGGCUAAUACCGGAUAGGAGCUCCUGCUGCAUGGUGGGGGUUGGAAAGUUUCGGCGGUUGGUGAUGGACUCGCGGCUUAUCAGCUUGUUGGUGGGGUAGUGGCUUACCAAGGCUUUGACGGGUAGCCGGCCUGAGAGGGUGACCGCCCUCAUUGGGACUGAGAUACGGCCCAGACUCCUACGGGAGGCAGCAGUGGGGAAUAUUGCACAAUGGGCGGAAGCCUGAUGCAGGAACGCCGCGUGCGGGAUGACGGCCUUCGGGUUGUAAACCGCUUUCGCCUGUGACGAAGCGUGAGUGACGGUAAUGGGUAAAGAAGCACCGGCUAACUACGUG